RNAcentral lists this transfer RNA (72 nucleotides) under Nephromyces sp. ex Molgula occidentalis. RNAcentral's name for it is "tRNA-Val". It matches the Rfam family "tRNA". From Rfam's summary of the family: Transfer RNA (tRNA) molecules are approximately 80 nucleotides in length. The record is from RNAcentral. Lineage: Eukaryota; Apicomplexa; Aconoidasida; Nephromycida.
GGGAAGUUAGCUUAGUGGUAAAGCUACUGCCUUACAAGCAGAAGAUCAUUGGUUCAAUUCCAAUACUACCUA